Molecule: long non-coding RNA, 435 nt
Filed under: Arabidopsis lyrata
Lineage: Eukaryota; Viridiplantae; Streptophyta; Magnoliopsida; Brassicales; Brassicaceae
Description: long non-coding RNA (ALYR_LNC001175)
Source: RNAcentral
UGGCGGAGGAGGAGGUGGAGGAAUUGAGCGUACAUGACUGAAAGGAGGAGGUGGAGGUGGUGGUGGGGAUCCAUAACUCAGUGGAGGAGGCGGCGGUGGGGGUGGAGAUCCAUAACUCGGUGGAGGAGGGGGAGGUGGGGGUGGAGAUCCAUAACUUGGUGGAGGAGGGGGAGGGGGAGGCACUGAAUAUGCAUUACUAAAAGGAGGAGGUGGAGGUGGUGGUGGAGCUGUUUUACUAGGUGGAAGAGGUGGAGAUCCAUAACUUGGUGGAGAAGGGGGAGGGGGAGGUACUGAAUAUGCAUUACUAAAAGGUGGAGGUGAUGGUGGAGCUGUUUUACUAGGUGGAAGAGGUGGAGAUGGAGAAGUGGAAAAACCAUUAAUAGGAAGGAUCUUGAGUGCUGGUGUAGGUGCAACACUCGUAUAAGGCAGAGGAGG